GAAAUGCGAUACGUAAUGUGAAUUGCAGGAUUCAGCGAAUCAUCAAAUUCUUGAACGCAAAUGGCGCUCCGCGGCUCGUCCGUGGAGCAUGUCUGUUUGAGUGUCAGUAACAUCCUCACAACCUCUCCCAUGAGGGGGGAAGUGGAUUGAUGACGGUUGGCGGUUCCUCAGCGAUGCCAUCCGUUGAAGCGCAGAGGGGUCCCGGCUUCAAUAUAGCCGCGACGUGGUGAAGUAAGAAAUCUCACGAUUUUACACUGCACCGCUCGCGCCGAAGCACGGCGUCCCCUUAGACAAGGGAAGCGCGGCCCUCGUGGCUGAGCCUCUACCUACAACAAUGACCUCAAAUCAGGCAAGACUACCCGCCGAAUUUAA
This 372-nucleotide unclassified non-coding RNA is filed under the name uncultured Mortierella. RNAcentral's name for it is "sequence contains ITS1". The stretch from base 1 to 106 matches the Rfam family "5.8S ribosomal RNA", at positions 50 to 154 of the family's 154-position model. The record is from RNAcentral. Lineage: Eukaryota; Fungi; Mortierellomycota; Mortierellomycetes; Mortierellales; Mortierellaceae.